This 459-nucleotide ribosomal RNA is filed under the name uncultured bacterium. Its description in RNAcentral is "partial 16S ribosomal RNA". It matches the Rfam family "Bacterial small subunit ribosomal RNA", at positions 338 to 795 of the family's 1533-position model. The record is from RNAcentral.
CCUACGGGUGGCAGCAGUGAGGAAUAUUGGUUAAUGGCCGCAAGGCUGAACCAGCCAAGCCGCGUGAGGGAAGAAGGUGCCAAGGAUUGUAAACUUCUUUUGUCAAGGAACAAAAUACGGCUCGCGAGCCUUACCGAGGGUACUUGAAGAAAAAGCAUCGGCUAACUCCGUGCCAGCAGCCGCGGUAAUACGGAGGAUGCGAGCGUUAUCCGGAUUUAUUGGGUUUAAAGGGUGCGUAGGCGGAAGAUUAAGUCAGCGGUAAAAGGCCGGGGCUCAACCUCGGCGAGCCGUUGAAACUGGCUGUCUUGAGAGGGCGAGAGGUAUGCGGAAUGCGCAGUGUAGCGGUGAAAUGCAUAGAUAUUGCGCAGAACUCCGAUUGCGAAGGCAGCAUACCGGCGGCGAACUGACGCUGAGGCACGAAAGUGUGGGUAUCGAACAGGAUUAGAUACCCGGGUAGUC